GUGGGGAAUCUUGCGCAAUGGGCGAAAGCCUGACGCAGCCAUGCCGCGUGAAUGAUGAAGGUCUUAGGAUUGUAAAAUUCUUUCACCGGGGACGAUAAUGACGGUACCCGGAGAAGAAGCCCCGGCUAACUUCGUGCCAGCAGCCGCGGUAAUACGAAGGGGGCUAGCGUUGCUCGGAAUUACUGGGCGUAAAGGGAGCGUAGGCGGUUAUACAAGUCAGGAGUGAAAUCCCAGGGCUCAACCCUGGAAUUGCUUUUGAAACUGUAUAGCUAGAGUCCCGGAGGGGUUAAUGGAAUUCCGAGUGUAGAGGUGAAAUUCGCAGAUAUUCGGAGGAACACCAGUGGCGAAGGCGAUUAACUGGACGGGCACUGACGCUGAGGCACGAAAGCGUGGGGAUCAAACAGGAUUAGAAACCCGAGUAGUCC
Molecule: ribosomal RNA, 425 nt
Filed under: uncultured bacterium
Lineage: Bacteria
Description: partial 16S ribosomal RNA
Rfam family: Bacterial small subunit ribosomal RNA
Source: RNAcentral